This 1928-nucleotide long non-coding RNA is filed under the name Gopherus agassizii (Agassiz's desert tortoise). Its description in RNAcentral is "lncRNA (ENSGAGG00000020301.1)". Lineage: Eukaryota; Metazoa; Chordata; Testudines; Testudinidae. The record is from RNAcentral.
UGAAAGAGUCGACGCUGCCUCAACCGCCGGUGCGGGUAAUACAGUCUAUCGGCAAGCCUGCCUUGAUAAGACCAUCCUCUGUUGGCACAGCAGAGCGGCACCGUUCACGAUCACGGUCCCGCAGACGUUCUAGGUCCCAUCGGCGCUCCCGCUCCCAACGCCACUCACAGUCCUGACACCGUUCUCCUCCUCGGUACCAGUCGCACUCGCGGCACCAUUCAGUAUCCCGUUCACCAGCCUGCUACUCUCGGCACCACUCCAGGCACCGUGACUUCUGUAGCCGCUCCCAACGUCGAGCCUCGAGAUCUCAGUCGACCUCCCGGCACUGCUUUGGUCACAGGUCCCGAUCUAGUUCCCGGUACCGGUAUGCCUCUUGGUACCGGUCCCAGAUGCCGAGUAGAGCAAGGUCUGCUAGAGACAGAGACUCUGACAUGGCCAUCCAGACACGCAUCAGUGUCGUCCCACGCGGACAGCUCUUAUGCACAGGACUGCGAUUCCGAUGUGCCCACCAGAGUCUUCCAAGAGACCCAGGCCCAGGACCAAGGCCCCCAUCAGUGGUCUUUCUGGACACCUUGGGCGUACCACCAGGCCCAAGGCGUACCAGUAGUUCCGUCCCGCUCUAUCCCAUCAGAGCACCGAGUGCCAGAGGCGACAGUUAGCCAUCAUCCUCCGACUGCUACAGAGGAAGCUCCAGUUCACCCACCAGACUCCCAGGUUCCACUGGAGCAGGAGGUCGCCCAAGAACAAGAGGCCACACAGGACCCGCUUGUUGCCGGCAUCUCCUCUUCCUCUUCUACAGAUGAAGCGGUGGCAGGAACAUCCUCCUCGGGCCCUCCUCCAAUCGACCUGAGAGCCCAUCAGGACCUCCUGAGGAGGGUAGCACUCAAUAUGAACCUCCAGGUGGAGGAGGUCACGGAGGUAGAGGAACCGGUAGUGGACAUUCUGUUGGCGGAUGCCCCCACCAGACUGGCCCUACCGUUUAUUCGGACCAUCCAGGCCAAUGCCAAUACUAUAUGGCAGUCUCCAGUCUCUAUCCCUUCUGCGGCCAGAGGAGUCAAGCGUAAAUACAUGGUGCCCUCUAUAGGGUAUGAGUACUUGUAUGUCCAUCCUCCACCCUGCUCACUAGUCGUCCAGUCUGUUAAUGAGAGAGAACGCCAUGGCCAGCAGGCACCAGCCCCGAAAUCGAAGGAUGCUAGGCGAAUGGACUUACUCGGCCACAAAGUGUACUCGGCAGGUGCCCUACAGCUCUGGGUGGCAAAUCAAGAAGCCCUGCUUAGCCGCUAUAAUUAUAACACCUGGGCAGUGGUGGGUAAGUUUACAGAGCUACUCCCUCAAGACUCUCGCCAAGAGUUCACUGCCCUCUUGGAGGAAGGGAAAAAGAUGGCCAGAACUUCCCUCCUGGCCUCGGGUGUUGCCAUGAGGCGCAUCUCAUGGCUUCAGGUUUCAAGCCUCCCACCAGAGCUGCAGUAUACCAUUCAGGACUUGCCAUUUGAUGGUAAAGGUCUCUUCUCAGAAAAGACUGACCCCAGGCUGCAAAGCCUGAAGGACAACAGGGUCAUAAUGCUCUCUCGGCAUGCAUACACCGGUGACCCAACACAGGCUUCUCCGUCCCCAGCCUCACCGCCCAUACUCUGCGCCUAGACAAAGACAGGACUUUGGCAGGCGGCACGGCCGAGGUGGUCGCAGAUGACCAUCAGGACCCCAAGAGGGCCAAAAUCAAGGUCCCUCAAAACCAACAGCUGGACCAAAGACGAACUUUUGAAGGUGCGCCCGAGAGUGGCGUACCACUUACAGGCCAGGAUCCUUCUCCCCUCUUCUCCAACCGUCUCUCCUACUUCCUCCCGGCGUGGUCCCAAUUAACUUCAGAUCGCUGGGUCCUACGCACGGCGGAGUAUGGGUACCACCUCCAAUUUAUUUCAACCCCACCC